GUAGGUGGCAAGCGUUGUCCGGAAUUAUUGGGCGUAAAGCGCGCGCAGGCGGUUCUUUAAGUCUGAUGUGAAAGCCCACGGCUCAACCGUGGAGGGUCAUUGGAAACUGGAGAACUUGAGUACAGAAGAGGAAAGCGGAAUUCCACGUGUAGCGGUGAAAUGCGUAGAGAUGUGGAGGAACACCAGUGGCGAAGGCGGCUUUCUGGUCUGUAACUGACGCUGAGGCGCGAAAGCGUGGGGAGCAAACAGGGAUUAGAUACCCUGGUAGUCCACGCCGUAAACGAUGAGUGCUAAGUGUUAGGGGGUUUCCCGCCCCUUAGUGCUGCAGCUAACGCAUUAAGCAUUCCGCCUGGGGAGUACGGCCGCAAGGCUG
RNAcentral lists this ribosomal RNA (373 nucleotides) under uncultured organism. RNAcentral's name for it is "partial 16S ribosomal RNA". It matches the Rfam family "Bacterial small subunit ribosomal RNA", at positions 527 to 896 of the family's 1533-position model. The record is from RNAcentral.